CUACGGGGGGCUCCAGUGGGGAAUAUUGCACAAUGGGCGCAAGCCUGAUGCAGCCAUGCCGCGUGUAUGAAGAAGGCCUUCGGGUUGUAAAGUACUUUCAGCGGGGAGGAAGGGAGUAAAGUUAAUACCUUUGCUCAUUGACGUUACCCGCAGAAGAAGCACCGGCGAACUCCGUGCCAGCAGCCGCGGUAAUACGGAGGGUGCAAGCGUUAAUCGGAAUUACUGGGCGUAAAGCGCACGCAGGCGGUUUGUUAAGUCAGAUGUGAAAUCCCCGGGCGCAACCUGGGAACUGCAUCUGAUACUGGCAAGCUUGAGUCUCGUAGAGGGGGGUAGAAUUCCAGGUGUAGCGGUGAGAUGCGUAGAGAUCUGGAGGAAUACCGGUGGCGAAGGCGGCCCCCUGGACGAAGACUGACGCUCAGGUGCGAAAGCGUGGGGAGCAAACAGGAUUAGAUACCCUCGUAGUC
This 464-nucleotide ribosomal RNA is filed under the name uncultured bacterium. Its description in RNAcentral is "partial 16S ribosomal RNA". It matches the Rfam family "Bacterial small subunit ribosomal RNA", at positions 339 to 795 of the family's 1533-position model. The record is from RNAcentral.